This 253-nucleotide ribosomal RNA is filed under the name uncultured bacterium. Its description in RNAcentral is "partial 16S ribosomal RNA". It matches the Rfam family "Bacterial small subunit ribosomal RNA", at positions 524 to 776 of the family's 1533-position model. The record is from RNAcentral.
UACGGAGGGUGCGAGCGUUGUCCGGAAUCAUUGGGCGUAAAGGGCGCGUAGGUGGCGGCUUAAGCGUGCGGUGAAAGCUCGGGGCUCAACCCCGAGUCGGCCGUGCGAACUGAGUCGCUUGAGCACUGUAGGGGCAGGCGAAAUUCCGGGUGUAGCGGUGGAAUGCGUAGAGAUCCGGAAGAACACCGGUGGCGAAGGCGGCCUGCUGGGCAGUAGCUGACACUGAGGCGCGAAAGCGUGGGGAGCGAACAGG